This 498-nucleotide ribosomal RNA is filed under the name uncultured bacterium. RNAcentral's name for it is "bacterial SSU rRNA". It matches the Rfam family "Bacterial small subunit ribosomal RNA", at positions 15 to 507 of the family's 1533-position model. The record is from RNAcentral.
GAUCAAUGGCUCAGAUUGAACGCUGGCGGCAUGCCUUACACAUGCAAGUCGAACGGCAGCACGGACUUCGGUCUGGUGGCGAGUGGCGAACGGGUGAGUAAUAUAUCGGAACAUACCCUAGAGUGGGGGAUAACGUAGCGAAAGUUACGCUAAUACCGCAUACGAACUAAGGUUGAAAGCGGGGGAUCUUCGGACCUCGUGCUCAUGGAGUGGCCGAUAUCUGAUUAGCUAGUUGGUGAGGUAAAGGCUCACCAAGGCGACGAUCAGUAGCUGGUUUGAGAGAACGACCAGCCACACUGGAACUGAGACACGGUCCAGACUCCUACGGGAGGCAGCAGUGGGGAAUUUUGGACAAUGGGCGCAAGCCUGAUCCAGCAAUGCCGCGUGAGUGAAGAAGGCCUUCGGGUUGUAAAGCUCUUUUGUCAGGGAAGAAACGGUGAGUCCUAAUAUGGCUUGCUAAUGACGGUACCUGAAGAAUAAGCACCGGCUAACUACGUG